RNAcentral lists this ribosomal RNA (810 nucleotides) under Nannizzia gypsea. Its description in RNAcentral is "eukaryotic LSU rRNA". It matches the Rfam family "Eukaryotic large subunit ribosomal RNA", at positions 85 to 912 of the family's 3401-position model. The record is from RNAcentral. Lineage: Eukaryota; Fungi; Ascomycota; Eurotiomycetes; Onygenales; Arthrodermataceae.
AACGGCGAGUGAAGCGGCAAGAGCUCAAAUUUGAAAUCUGGCCUCCUUCGGGGGUCCGAGUUGUAAUUUGUAGAGGAUGCUUCGGGUGUGGCCGCCGUCUAAGUUCCUUGGAACAGGACGUCAUAGAGGGUGAGAAUCCCGUCUUGGGCGGCUGGUCCGCGCCCGUGUGAAGCUCCUUCGACGAGUCGAGUUGUUUGGGAAUGCAGCUCUAAGCGGGUGGUAAAUUUCAUCUAAAGCUAAAUACUGGUCGGAGACCGAUAGCGCACAAGUAGAGUGAUCGAAAGGUUAAAAGCACCUUGAAAAGGGAGUUAAACAGCACGUGAAAUUGUUGAAAGGGAAGCGCUUGCGGCCAGACUCGGGGGCGGGGUUCAGCGGGUGCUCGUCGCCCGUGCACUCCCCGUCUCCCGGGCCAGCAUCAGUUUCGACGGCCGGUCAAAGGCCUCCGGAAUGUGUCGUCUCUCGGGACGUCUUAUAGCCGGGGGUGCAAUGCGGCCCGUUGGGACUGAGGAACGCGCUCCGGCUCGGAUGCUGGCGUAAUGGCCGUAAGCGGCCCGUCUUGAAACACGGACCAAGGAGUCUAACAUCCACGCGAGUGUUCGGGUGUCAAACCCGUGCGCGCAGUGAAAGCGAACGGAGGUGGGAGCCUUAGGGCGCACCAUCGACCGAUCCUGAAGUCUUCGGAUGGAUUUGAGUAGGAGCGUGGCCGUUGGGACCCGAAAGAUGGUGAACUAUGCCUGAAUAGGGUGAAGCCAGAGGAAACUCUGGUGGAGGCUCGCAGCGGUUCUGACGUGCAAAUCGAUCGUCAAAUUU